This 182-nucleotide non-coding RNA is filed under the name Magnetococcales bacterium. Its description in RNAcentral is "6S RNA". It matches the Rfam family "6S / SsrS RNA". Rfam says of the family: E. coli 6S RNA was the first non coding RNA to be sequenced, but its function was unknown until recently. It consists of 184 nucleotides that fold into an extended hairpin structure with a large single-stranded internal bulge. The record is from RNAcentral. Lineage: Bacteria; Pseudomonadati; Pseudomonadota; Magnetococcia; Magnetococcales.
CCACCCCUGCGGUGUUCGUGAGGAGACCAAUCUCCUGAGCCGAUAACUUAUGAACCUGGGAACCGUGCCCUGAUUGUGGAGUGUGACCCCCAUCUGCGGGAUUACCAGAAACAAUUAUUCACGGAUCCACCUUGAACAAAAGGGUUCAGAGAGUGCGAUCCCACGGCACAGGCGGGGGCACU